This 27-nucleotide non-coding RNA is filed under the name Rattus norvegicus (Norway rat). The record is from RNAcentral. Lineage: Eukaryota; Metazoa; Chordata; Mammalia; Rodentia; Muridae.
UUGUAAAUGUUCUAGUUCGAAUUCUGC